UACGGCGAAGUUGCUGUCCCUUUACAAUGGUCACAGCUUAGGAAAAGGCAACGCCUUCUUGUUGCACUCCCGCCAAAUCUUCCUCUGCCACCGCUGCUGCUACUGCAUCUGAAGUUUUGACCCACCACAGGAUCCGAUCAUAAAGAGAGCAGCUACCAUGUCGUCCCUGAUCUGCCCUGUUAAGUCCCUCAAUGUCAAUGAUCCUCCUCCACCUAACCCCACUUCUGCUAAAAAAAGCAGUUAACCCUGGGAAGGGAGUCCAAACUUCAACACUGGGAGUUGUGUGGCAACUGUCAGGGCAGCUGGAGCAACUCCUGAGGUUAAUUGCAGCUAUGUUUAUCUUGAAUUGCGGCUUAUAAUUUGGUAAAUUGCAUUUACCAUCUCGAGGUAUCUUCAAAUUUCACAAACACGUUUCUGUUUUGAAAAAUACACAGAAAGCACAAAAUAACUUUUGAUUACCUGUUUUGUUGGUUUAUAGGUAGUAGGUUAAUGUUAAAUAGCAGUAAUAGCUUACUGGUGGAUUUCUGUUUACUUCAUAUUUUUCAAGAUAGAUGCCAUUUUAGUGAAAUUUGAAGAUACCUGUCGCUGGUAUUUGUAAUUUGCCCAUUGUGAUUUAGAAAUUUAUCAACGGAAGAAAUGAAGUGAUUACUCUA
This is a long non-coding RNA of Hevea brasiliensis (rubber tree), 653 nucleotides long. RefSeq lists it as uncharacterized. The record is from RefSeq and is a predicted model, not a curated record. Lineage: Eukaryota; Viridiplantae; Streptophyta; Magnoliopsida; Malpighiales; Euphorbiaceae. The transcript has 3 exons.